Molecule: ribosomal RNA, 477 nt
Filed under: uncultured bacterium
Lineage: Bacteria
Description: bacterial SSU rRNA
Rfam family: Bacterial small subunit ribosomal RNA
Source: RNAcentral
AAUCAACGCUGGCGGCGUGCCUCAGACAUGCAAGUCGAACGAUUAAGACUCUCUUCGGAGAGUGUAUAAAGUGGCGCACGGGUGAGUAACACGUAGGUAAUGUACCGAAGGGUGGGGAAUAACUUAGGGAAACUUAAGCUAAUACCGCAUAAUGCAGCGGCUCGACAUCGAGACAGUUGUUAAAGGAGCAAUCCGCCUUUUGAGCAGCCUGCGGCAGAUUAGCUAGUUGGUAAGGUAAUGGCUUACCAAGGCUACGAUCUGUAACCGACCUGAGAGGGUGGUCGGUCACACUGACACUGAAUAACGGGUCAGACUCCUACGGAGGCAGCAGUCGGGAAUUUUGGGCAAUGGGCGAAAGCCUGACCCAGCAACGCCGCGUGAAGGAUGAAGUAUUUCGGUAUGUAAACUUCGUAAGAAUAGGAAGAAUAAAUGACGGUACUAUUUGUAAGGUCCGGCUAACUACGUGCCAGCAGCCGC